RNAcentral lists this long non-coding RNA (11724 nucleotides) under Marmota monax (woodchuck). Lineage: Eukaryota; Metazoa; Chordata; Mammalia; Rodentia; Sciuridae. The record is from RNAcentral.
CGGGAGGCGCCCAUGCACGGUCUGCAAAGGCACAGGAGGCCCUUGGGGUGCAGCUGAGGUAAGAACCAAUGUGCUUUGCAGGGCCCUGUCCCAGGCCUCUUGACAGCAGUGCCUGCUGGAGCCUUCUAGUCCCUCCAGCUGCAGGGCCAGGACACACAGUCAGCCCUUCUUAGAAGCAGAAAAGGCCUUUCCCGGAAUCCUGCUGAGGCGAGGAGUGUCAGGUUGUGUAGUGGGGGAGAGCUGGCCACCAGGCUCCACUUCUAUGUACCCUCUGCCUAGGAAGCCAGCCAGCUAUCUGCUGGAGACUUGCCUUCAUCACGACUUGUCACCUCCAGGAGAUGUUCCACUUUCCAAUCAGGUGAAAAAUGAACCUGAUUAAAAAUAGCAGACUGGCCUCUUCAGAGUCCCCUUGUAAAGUGAAACCCCUGGGUGCGCCUCCAAGUGGGAAAAGGGACAUGACUUUCCCCGGGUUCCAGGCUCCGAGGGCCAGUCGGCAGCUGCUCCUCUCCUUCCACCACCCUGCCCAGCCCAGAGCCCUCUCAGUCACGGCCACCAUGGUCAGGUCUUACUCUCUGGGCUCACCCUGUUGGCCAGGGGGCACCGUGACCACCCCUCCCCUCCCUUCCUUCCUCCUGCCUUUAAUGCUUAUGGACCUAGGCUUCUAGAGCUUUCUCAACACUGUGGACACAUUCCCAGUGGAAAGCAUGACAUUUUCCGUUUCAGAUUACGCACUCCACCAUGCCGCAGGAAGAGAGCGAGCAGGAAAACAAGGCCUGGGAGCCAGCCCCCCCUGCACCGCCCGCAGCUCAGCCCGGUUUAUCCUGGAGUCACCUCCCCAGCGGGCAGCGGCUGCCUCUCCCCCUCGCCGAAGGCCCAGAAGAGGUUAACCUCCUUUCUGCUCAUGUGGCACAUCUGGAUUGAGGCGUGCCUCUCCACUCUGUUGUGUUUUUUUUAAACUUUACUUUCCACUGCCAUGGCAACCACUGCAUGUUUGGCAAAGGGAAGGGGGGGGGGGCGAAAGCUCAGGGAGAAGAAAAGGAGCUCUCAGCGCGGGGCUGGCGGCCAUCCAGGGUAAUCAUGCCGCAGAGCUGAAAUGAGGCCUCUGGCGGGCAGCCAAGUGACAAAGAACAAAGCUGUCAGUUCCUAAUGUUGGCGGCAAAGCUUGUUUGGCACCCUUAUAUGGUUUCCCAGAACUCCCUGCCUUGGCCGCCGUCCAUUCCCUUCAGGGCAGCAAACGGGAUUAGCACAGCUCUGGGUUGUUUUUCUCCCCUCUGCUCCAACUGCUCCAGUGACAUCAUCCCUGCUGCAUUCAUGUGCCAGCAGGGUAGUUUUUCUCUGCUCCACCUCCCUCCCCCUGGCCCUCCCCCACCAACACUCACUUCCUGUGGCCGCCCCCUCGCCCCUCACUCUCUCCACGCAAUGUUUUAGGUCAUUCUUCUUGUCCAGCUUCUCUGUUAAAUUAAAAACACCCUGGUGCUUGUACAUUUAGCUGAAUCAAGCCAGACGCUGUAUUUUAUUUUUAUAACUGAAUUCCUGUGAGAUAAAAAUCUCAUUUUCCUUAGUCGGCUGUAAUCAGCACUCACAGGGAUGUGGUUUCCAACUGCCCCAUCUCGUGCUUCCUUAGGCAGCUCCGCAGAGAAAUGAACUUGGCUCCUGUUCAGGGUUAAAGGGCCCGAGGCCGGUCACACGUUGCUCAUUCACACGCACACACACACACACACACACCCCACACAAAUAUGCACCCCAAAACCAACAUAGAUACAUGCACACACACAUACAAUGUGCACACAGAGACCAUCGUACACCACACACACACACACACACACACACACACACAGCCCUUGUCAGGGAAAGUUGCCCACAGCAAUAAACACAAAGGGCCUGAGAAUACCCACCCAGAUACAAUCACACAGUCAGUACAGUAUCCUUCUCUCACUUUCCAGAAGGAAAAUAGGUGAAUAAGUGGAAGCUCAAAGCUGCUUCUGAAAAGCCUGGUUCAAGCUAGCAGGCAGGCGAGGAGCCUUAUGCAACUCAUGGCCGGAUGGAUGCAUGAAAGGAACCAGGGUUUGCGACUGCACAAACGGUCCCGCCCCUGCCCGGCCCCCCACCCUGCCACAGUCUGAUUCAUGAACUAGUUUUCAGAUUCAUGAAUCACCCGGGAGCCAGCAAGAGAAAAAUGAGUAGUAUUGAUCUCAUUUCAGCUGAAAUGGGCUCAGCAGGGCCAUGCCGGCUGUGGACUGCAUUCCAGGGCCGGACUUUCUGAGCUCCUGUCUACAGGCAGGCGCCCAACCUGGGCGGGGCCGGAUCCUGGGUGGAGCCUUUGCACAGGGUGCCCCUUAUUAUAAACAGGCACAAUACCAUCUACUGGUACAGGGACGAUGACAGGACCCCACUGUCCUUGCUGGGGACAUCAGUGCCUUCUUUGGAAGUCUCCAUUUUACUUUUUAAUGACAUCUUUUAAGAGACAUCUCAAUACCAAUUCCUUUUCUGGACUUCAGGUAACUUCUUGAAGACCACCUGAAGUAGAAAUUCACCUUCUGAAGGCAUGGACCUGUCUUAGGGUUGCUGGUUUUAAGGCAAACAAGUAGCCCUUGCCCCGACUCCCUCUUCAGCCAAGAAGGACAGUGAAGGGACAGAGAGAGACUCCAGAGAAGGGCCAUCUGAUUCAUGUAAGGGAGGGGACCCAGCAGCUGGGUGACUGCUUCUCCUGCACACAGCACUCUGGAUUUGAGAAAAGCAUUCUCUUCCUUCCCAAAUGAAAGGAAGACCCUUUCUUUGAUGGUCAGGGAACUUAGCCUGCAUCCAGAGGUCUCACAGAGAGGUGUUAGGUCUUGGGUAGAAUGACCCGGGCAAUCCACCAUGGGACCCUCUUUUCUCCAACUGCUCUCCUCUACCCGCUUGACACGUACCCCUUACCCCAACCCAGCCCAACCCUCUAAGCUGACCACCACAGGCGGUUGGCCUUGAUCUUCAUCUUCCCAAUGAAUGUUUGAGCAGUUUCUUCUUCCAGUCUCCCCUCCCAACCCCAAUUCAGCCCUGAGAGAUUUAGAAUAGUUGACUGGACACAGGCUUUUCAGAAACCCCACAGAAGUUGGCAACCGGCACCAGAAAAGGAUUCCAUCCUAAUCUGCAUGAUUUUGGAUCCAAGAGUCCAGAAGACAGAUUCAUAUCCAUUUCCUCCAGACACAUGGUCUGGCCAUUAGAUGCAUUUCACCCGCAGGGAUUCCAAGAGGUGACCUGACUCCCUUCAUUACUGUGGUGCCCAGAAGAACUGGGAGUGGACCAAAGAAGGGGGAAGAAGCUGUGUUUGAGCCAAUUUCAACCAGCAGCUGGCUCAGAGGGGCAAGCGCUCUGCCUUGGUGAGCGCGGCGUGAAGGUGCCUUUCAAGCUGAGCAUUCUCAGGCUUACUGCAGCCAGCCCUGGUCUGCCAGUCCCCAGGGCUAAAAGCUGUCCUGCUGGCUUGAUGGCUGGCCAGAGAGCGAGUGGGGAUCGAGGUCUGGCUCGUGUUUUGCGUCACCUCAGUUGCUUUGCCAGUGUGGCCCCACGUUCAGUGAUAAACCUGAGUCGCUAAGAAAGCUUUAUGUAACACCCACCCGGCCCGCUUCUCAGAGCCGCAAGCGUUGUUUCCAGAGUUCCCCAUAAACCUGGCAGCACAUCAAACCUCUGUUUCAUAACAGACUAGAAAUAGGAUUUUCUAAUAACGUGCCGAGCACUGAACUUAUCAUGUGGAGAUCAGGACUUUGGUGAAUUGCUAAUGGCUAGCUAGGCAGAUACUCCCAUGCCCAGCCUGCAGUCUCGGGUCAGGAUGGAGGGAAAGUCAAAAAACCAGUUUCUGCAUCCACGGUCUGCUGGUUGGUGACCUGAAAAGAGUUUGCUCAGCAAUCUCAAAUAUAUUGAGGAUCUUGUUCGUGUUUUAAAGAAAGAGAAAGAAAAGAUGCUUCCUACUGGUUCUUCCUUCAUGGAGACUGUGGUUUCCUUUCAUUUUGUUGCCAGACAUGUUGGCUCUGAUGGACUUGACCCUGGGGGAGGGCAGUGGCCUCCAGGACACACCUAGCUUCAGGGAUCCAGAGAAUCACCACUCAUCUCAGACUGCUCUCCUGGAGUGGGGGCAGUGGGGUGAUCACGUGCCCUUCCGCACUGCAGCCCCAUCAGGCCCUGGAUAGGCUGUGGCCAGGAAGGGACUUCCCUCUGAAAGGCCACUUGAAGCCUGUUUAUGUGCUACUCUAGAAAACUUCUUGGGGUUCAAGUGCAUGUUGCUUUGUUCCGUUUUGUGCAUUACUGUGGUGGGGAGGGUCAUCCUGCCUGCCUGUGUAGGCCUGCCGCGUGGCUGUGGAAGCCCUGCUUGUGCAGAUGGCCCACGGAGCAUCACUCAAAACAAAAGAAGCAGUUGUCACUCACCAUCAGGGUGGACCAGCUGAAGCUCUGUGGGGCUGGGCUCUGUGCCUGCAAGGCUGACCCUGGAGACAGGUCCAUGUGGCCCUGGAAUAACUGCCUUCAGUGUCUUGAGCUGCCUCAGGAGGAUGGAGCUCCUGGGGCUCUCCUCCUUCCCCCUGCAACCUCACCUCCUCCACAGUCUCCCUGGGGACCUUCCCUGGGCCGCCAGAACAAUCUGGGGGAACAUUGUCUUCGUGGCUGGGACUCAGCAUCCCUACUGCGUCCUCAGUUCUGUGCCCAUGCAGUGUCCACGACUCAGGCUUGUUAUCUUUCUCUCCCAGUCUCCUUAAGCAGCUCUGUUUUGAGAUCUCUUCUGCCUUCUUGCUGUGAACCAGGUCACCAACUCGGGAUCUCCAGGACGAUUCUCCCUCCCAUGUAAAAAUUUCUCCAGCCCCUCUGGUGUGUGUCACACCUUCCGAUUUAGCUGCAGGCAGCUUUCAUUGGCCCACUCUGCCCUUUUUGCUGGGUUAUUAGGAAAAUUGAUAAAGAAAAGGCCCCUCUCCCCUCACGUUGUCCCUGUGCCCAGCUGGUCCCUGGGGAGGAAGGCCCAUGUCUCCCACCCCACAUGCCAAUCCGCAAUGUGGAAGGACAGGCAGGGAAAGGGGCUUCCCUCCCUGGCUGCGACUGAAUAGCCUUGAGAUCCAUUUAGCGUCUGGACACCUGGUUGCCAUGGAGAUGGUCGUCAUAAAAACACACUGAUCUGCAGAGAGAUAUAAAGCCGAUCCCAGAGGUACACAAUUGGACACAUUAGCUCAGAGAAACACGACGCUGCUUAUCGCUUCCCUUUGUUGACAGUUCCUCUGCCUUUCAAAACCAGCCCAGGUGACCUUCUUAGAACCAGGCCAACGCAGUCCAUUUCCAGUUAAUAUUUUGUAAGGAACAACCAAAGGCUUCAGUAAAUGCCAGAUGCCCCCAGCCUUCCUGUCCUGGGCUGAGUCAGCCAAGCAGAGGCUGUCCUUUGGCACGGGAUGUUCUUUACCGCUUGCAUUGAUCGACUGGCAAGAGCAGAGUGGGUGGAACUGAAUACCCACCUUGACCAGGCUCAGGUCAGGUGGCUAGAAGGGAGUGACAGAUGUCAGCAGAGACACCUUGGGUGCACUGUUCAGUUCGCAAGGGAAGGGGCUAAAGGGGACACUGAGACCCAUGGGGAGCAUAGCAUAGCCUUGCGUCAGGAUGGGUGAUUCAGCAAAACACAGGUGUGUAGGGCUGUGUGUUACCCCGUCUACCUCCUUCCCCUUUACAUUCUCCAAACUUGCAUUUCCCCCUUGGUCCAGCCAACCUGCAGAAACCAAUAAAAGACUUCACUCCUCUUGGCUCUGGAGCACACACCCAGACUGAGGCAGCUCUGGGCAGUGCAAAGGGGCAGGCACAGAUCCUCUUGCAAAAUGCAAAGGAUGGUGGGAGUCCUUUGAAAUUUGUUUGGGUUAAGAGUUGAAAGAAUUAUUUGGUGUUCAGAGUUUUAGCUGUGCCAUUGCAAUGCUGAGGGUAACUCAGAGUAAGAAAAUGACUGGAAAAUGUUCCAUGGUGAUGGCAUGAUGAACACAGGCAAGGUCUACUUCCAAGAUGGUGCCCAGUGAGAGCCAUUCCAGCCGAAACGGGAGGUUGUCUAUCUGGAAGCCGGGAAGCCUAGAAGCUGUGGCUGACAUGAGACCUGGCAGCCUCUGUGCAUGUUGUCCACUCUUUCCUUCUUUUUUUGUUUUUUUCCUUUUAAGAUGUCUGAAUUCUAGAAAAUGGGUCAUAACUUAGUCACCCAUCUUGGCAUUUGAUCUUCAAUUAUUAUUUUGAUUACCCAGUGCCUCAGUUUUCUUCUUUUUUUUUAAAUUGGGAUUUUGUUUCCAUUUCAUUCCCAAAUGAGUUUUAAACUUGUCUUGCUUCAGUCAGUCCUAUCACAUGGUAACUGGUGGAAGAGGUAAAGACCAGACCGUGUGCGGAUGUGGCAACAAUUAUUGCAUUUACCAUGUGCACUGUUACUGCCAGACACCACCCAUGUUGGGAUGCCUGUUCUUACUACACCCUGUAUUCUGGAUGGGUAUGAAAAGACAAGUCUUUCCUUGAUGCUGCAGCUUCUUCAGCUAGUUUCACCAAAUGUCUUUGGCUGCUGAUGUUUUGACCUCUCAUUUGCAUAUUUCCAGUUACUCUGAAUAUGCCCUUGACCCCUUCUUAACAACAGUUUAUUGCCAGAGUCUUCAUUAUUUCCCAACUGUCCUUAUCUUUAUUUUUCUUGUGAAAGAUAAUUUUUAAAAGCCGUUUAAAAGCUCAGCUCACUUGAAGCUGUUCAGCUCCUAGUUCCCUCCCGGCUCUGUGGUGGGUGACUUUCUUUUUCUUCCACCCUCCUCCCCUGCGCAGAACAUGUUUAUAAACACACACCCUCUUCUCCUUGGUUCCUUUGGCUGGCAUUACAUCAUUCUGCCUUUUUUCCCUCCGCCCUCGUGUUUUUCCGGAAAGCUUUCCCCUGGUCCUGGUGUCUUCUUGUUCUCCAUCCACUCGGGAGGGAGGUGCUAGUUUGAUCCCUGCUGGCCCUUAUGGGAGCACUUGGGGCACUUCCUUCCUGCUUCAUCCUGUUUCCAUAGUCCAUCACCUCACCCAGCAGUAUGGCCCCUGUCAAUCAUCUUCCUCCCAAGGCAACAGCUUGUACCCUGGCAAGCAGACAGUGGUAGCUGGGCCUUACUUAGCAUCUAUGCACUCUGGUUGCAGAAUGCAGGAUUUCCUUAUAGUUUGGGCUUUUAAAAAGGCUUAUUAUUGAGCUUGAAAAGUGCCAGAUUCAUAGCCCUGAAGAAUAAAGGCCAAGUUUGCAUGUGCCUGAAAAUACGCUAUUAUGCCCAGGCCAGUUGGACGUCGGGCCAACCUAGAGGCUGCUGUUGCUGUGAGCUCUGCUCUGUUUGCCAUGGAAGUGGCCAUGAAGGUGUUCCCAAACCACCGCUCACUGUGUGUCUUUGAAACAGAACCAGGACUGGAAGUUCAGACCAGGACUGUGACUUCCAAGGGGCAGAAUGUUUGUCAAGUUUUGAAACCAGGGCUUUGCUGAUACUUUGUAGCCAUGCUACCUAUGUGUUUGUUUACACUCAGCCCCCUUGCCUUAAUUAAAAGUUACAAGGUGCGUGGGGGAGGUGGCACCCCUGUAAUCCCAGGGAUCCGGGAUGAUACAGGGGGAUCUCCAGUUCAAAGCCAGCCUCAGCAAUGGCGAGACGCCAAGCAACUCAGUGAGACCCUGUCUCUAAAUAAACUACAAAAUAGGGCUGGGGAUGUGGCUCAGUGGUCGAGUGCCCCUGAGUUCACUCCCUGGUUCCUCCCCCCCAAAAAAGUUGCAAGGUGAUUUUAAAAAAUGUAUCCAACUCUGCUUAAACCCCAUGUUCUCAUAAUUUGUAACAAGGCCCCAUCUUUGUACAGUGUUCUCUGUGCAAUACAGCAUCCUCACAAGCACAGCCAGGCCCAAGGUCUUUUUAAGAGAGAAAACAUGUGAUCUCCACAAGAAAACCACCAACAGGGCCCCUGAGCAUGAACACUCUACAGACCCGCCCCAUUAUCUCCAGCCCACAUUGGCCAAUGUGCCUGUUUUACUCUCCCUGAUGCUGGUGUGGCAUGGUUGCCCGAGAAGCGCUGGAGGAGAGGCACAGGAACACACAUGGCUUCAUGGAGCGCUCACACACGUGUGCUCACUUGGAAUGAAGGCAGGCAGGAGGUGCUGCCCUGACACGGAGCAGGGGACAGGUCAGUGCUGUCUCCGUGUCUUGGAGCAGGGAGGGAGUUUGGAUCUGGUGAUCCGGGAGGCCCUGACCCAAGUAGCUUUGGGAAGUCUGACUCUGCCCCAGAUUCACUUUCUUUUGGGGGGGGGGGGGGUUACCAGGGAUUGCACUGAGCCACAUCCCUAACCCUAUUUUGAACUUUUUAUUUAGAGACAGGGUCUCACUGAGUUGCUUAGUGCCUCCCUUUUGCUGAGGCUGGCUUUGAAAUUGCCAUCCUCCUGCCUCAGCCUCCAGAGCCACUGGGCUUAUAGGUGUGUGCCGCACCAGCCCCACAUUCACUCUUUAUGUUCACUCCUUUACGUUAAGACGUGUGGUAAUAAGACAGUGUUUCCAGAAGUUUCUUCUUAACACUUCGCUAAAAAUAUUACAGCCUCUGCCUGAGGUGACUGUCUCUGCUGUCCCAUCAGCCUUGACAGUCUACUGCUCAAGCACUGAGUCAGAUGCCACCUUCUCCUGGAGACUUUGUUCAUCCUGUUAAAAUGGAUUUCUUCCUUCCUUCCUUCCUUCCUUCCUUCCUUCCUUCCUUCCUUUUUUUCCUUCCUUCUUUCUUUCCUUUCUUCCCACCGCAUCCAAGUCAGAGUGCAACCUCCUCCUCUAUCAAGCCUGGACCCCCUGCUGUGCUGUGCCUGUGGGUAGAUAUGACCUGGGGUCAGUGCUAUGAGAGUGGGGACUUUGGCUUUUCCCAAGGUCACAACCUGUGCUAACACUGCCCUGUCCAGAGUCUGUCCCUUUGUGUUUUAACGUCCCUGUCCAGACGCCUCUAUGGCACUGCAGUGGACAAGCUCUUUGCCUUGUUAGUCUCCACGUCCUGAUUGCUGAACAAGUGAUCUGUGGCCUUGAAGAGUGACAGCAGUGGCACAGCCCAGGGAUAGAAGGAUGGGCAUCCACACAGCCUGCCCGACACUGUCCCUACACCGUCAUUCUGUCUCCGCAUGCUCCCUGUCCAUCUCAGUCACUGAAAUCUGGCUCCUUCCCUCACUCAGGACUGCCCCACCUCCUUGCCACAGACCUUCUGAAGGCCACUGGCCCUGUACUCCAGGGGACAUUGCUCAGGACUAUGUUCAGUUCUUGGGAGGCCAGUGAAGGUGGUCGCACCCUCACAGGGACUCGAUCCCUUCUCUGGGUGUCUGUGGCCGGCACUUCUCUGCUUCCGUCCUUUCACAGAACCUUGAGCAUCCAGAUCCCACGCUGCCUCAACAGCUUGAGCUCAGCCAUGGCUCCAAUGACCACCUCAGUUUGAAUGAGCCCUGGAUUUCCACCUCCAGGAAGACCCCUUUCCAGGGCUUAGACCUCAUGCCCACCCACACAUGAGGCAGCUGUCCAUGGGCACCCCAGGGACCUUUAAACCCAGCUAGACCCACCCUCCCUUUAGCUCCUCCUCAUCCCAACGGAUUCAGAAUGGCUUUGCAGUGACUUUGCUCAUUGGUUUGUCUCCACUGGGCAUGUUGUUCUAAAAUAUAGAAUCUAAAAACAGGACCACGUCACUGCACCAGAGCCUCCACACGCAGAUGGAGUCCCACACCAGGUGUGCCAGGCCCAAGCCCAGGUCCUGCCAGCCUUUCACCCUUCCCCAGCCCUGGCUUUGCACACAGGGCCCUUCCUGGUCGACCUCACCUCCUGUGGUCCUUGGAGAUGCGUCUUGGCUGCCUGUGCAGGGAAGCUGUCUGGGCCUCUGCAGCAGACCCCAGCGCCCCGCCUCUCUGCUCCCCAUGCCACUCCCUGAAUCACCCUCUGCUGGUGCCUGCCCUCCUCCUUCCUGCACUCUGAACUCCUCGGGAUUCACAGAUGUGCCCCUCCUAGGAGCCACCUCCUGUCACUCAUCUCCCCUGAGCACACAGUGAAAGUCUCGUGCUUUAUGCUGUCCCUGGUCCCCUGGAGUGUGAACAGAGCCACUCAGCUGAAUUCAUCACUGGUUCCUCACUGCUCCUCUGGAGUUGGCUGGUAGAGGGAGUUUUGAAAAGAAAACGUAGGCUUCUACGUUCAUAUGCUUUAAAAAGAAAUCCUGGCGUUUACCUCCCCAUCAGCAGCCUGCGGGCUCCUCCAUCCUUCCUUUGCAUUGAAUCAGUGGCAAGAGGUGAAAACUCCCCUCAGGGAAACUCCUUCCCGUGCCUUCUGUGUGCUUAUUCCAUCCACCAGCUCCAGUGCUGUCCCUAAAGCCCUCCCUUCACUCACCCAGUGCCCAGGCCUCCUUUGGACCUUGGGGCCUCCAGCUGCUGCUCAGUCUCUGUGGGGCCAAGGCUGGGGAUUUACUCCAGAUUCUUGUCCAAGGAUUUCCACCCCCAUAUCUUGUCUCCCUUUUUAUUCUUAUUGCCAGGUAGGAGCAAUUGUGAAUGUGUCUCUGCUAUGCAAUCUAACAGGUUGCCUACAAAACCUGAGUUUUGUGUCACAUGAUGGGGUCAUGGAAGAAGUGGUGUGUUGGGGUGCCUUCCGGUCCUCCGCAGGGGCCCUGCCUGGCUGAGCACAACUCCUGCCCAGGAGCACGACUCAUGCUCUGCCCACUGAGAGCAGUUAGGCCUGAGACCCAUGCCCUGCAGAGACACUUCCUACAGGGGACACCAUGUGGCCUCAUUCCAAGGCACAGCCGUCCUUUUCUAAUAUUACAAAAGGAAUGUAUAAUAUAUGUUCCCCAGUUUUCAAAGAUUCCCUGUGCAUUUUCCUAAUACAGCAGCUAUUUCCAUUAAAUUUUAUUCUUGAUUCAUCAUUUUUAAAUGCAGUCCUGUGCUUUUGAAGGCCAAUAAGAGAGAAAUGGGGUUGGCGGAUGGUGAGAAAGAUUGCUUUAGAGGAGAGGUGUAGCUGUCAAUCUUGAAGUCAAAUUAUCUUUGUGAACUAAAUGGUACCCGGAUUUUAUUCAAGUGCAAAGCUGGGCAAUUCACUGUGAUUUAAAACGAUCAGUGUUACACAUUGCGUGCUUCAGAUGCAUGGAAGAACGGGGUUUUUUCUUUUCUUUUUCUUUUUGCAAUAACCGAGGAAACACAUGCAAAUUGAAGUUUAGUCUGAACAAUUGACCACAAGUGCAUCAGGCAUUGUGCUGAGGACACCUGCCAUCAUUGGCCAUCACAUAGGACACAAAAUUAAAAUGGACUUGAGGUACUUAAAGUAGGUCAAGAUAAUAGAAAUAAAAAUAGCUCAUGUUUAGUGGAUUUUUCAACAUUUUUUAUUUGUUUUUGUUUUUCUUUUAAAGUAGCAAGAAGACACUAGGGGGAAACUGAUGGAACCACGGGCAGUUCUCCUUGGAUAGCCUCGAGUCUGGACCCUAGAGCAGAGGCUCUGAGAGUGAGGUCGCCGGGUCUUCUCAUUCUUCAUUCCCUUUAAGACACUGCUCCCCUCUAUCCCCAGGCUCCAGAGUGUCUGGCCUGAGGUUCUGGGUCCACUGGGAGAGCCAAGUGUGUGAUUUCCCAUCUGCUCCCUACAGACACUAGUGGGAACUCGCUGAUCGAUGGCGACGAUCCCUCCUCCAUCCUUUCCAUGUUAUGGUGUGGAUGUGAGGUGUCCUUUAAAAGCUCCUGUGUGAGGCAGAGAAAGAAGGUUCAGAGGUGAAAUGAUUGAG